Sebastes umbrosus (honeycomb rockfish) is the source of this 107-nucleotide long non-coding RNA. RefSeq lists it as uncharacterized. The record is from RefSeq and is a predicted model, not a curated record. The transcript has 3 exons. Lineage: Eukaryota; Metazoa; Chordata; Actinopteri; Perciformes; Sebastidae.
UUGAUAAGGCUAACUGCGCGAACAGUGCAAACAAUGGCAUAAGUGCUGGCAGAGCUAAUGGUGUUAACCUGAGGAGGAUACCGGAGGAUGGGCGCUACUCUUCCACA